UACGAAGGGGGCUAGCGUUGCUCGGAAUUACUGGGCGUAAAGGGCGCGUAGGCGGACAGUUAAGUCGGGGGUGAAAGCCCGGGGCUCAACCCCGGAAUUGCCUUCGAUACUGGCUGUCUUGAGUUCGGGAGAGGUGUGUGGAAUGCCGAGUGUAGAGGUGAAAUUCGUAGAUAUUCGGCGGAACACCAGUGGCGAAGGCGACACACUGGCCUGAUACUGACGCUGAGGCGCGAAAGCCAGGGGAGCGAACGGG
RNAcentral lists this ribosomal RNA (253 nucleotides) under uncultured bacterium. RNAcentral's name for it is "partial 16S ribosomal RNA". It matches the Rfam family "Bacterial small subunit ribosomal RNA", at positions 524 to 776 of the family's 1533-position model. The record is from RNAcentral.